UGGGGAAUAUUGGACACUGGGCGUAAGCCUGAUCCAGCCAUGCCGCGUGUGUGAAGAAGGUCUUCGGAUUGUAAAGCACUUUAAGUUGGGAGGAAGGGCAGUAAGCGAAUACCUUGCUGUUUUGACGUUACCGACAGAAUAAGCACCGGCUAACUCUGUGCCAGCAGCCGCGGUAAUACAGAGGGUGCAAGCGUUAAUCGGAAUUACUGGGCGUAAAGCGCGCGUAGGUGGUUCGUUAAGUUGAAUGUGAAAGCCCCGGGCUCAACCUGGGAACUGCAUCCAAAACUGGCGAGCUAGAGUAGGGCAGAGGGUGGUGGAAUUUCCUGUGUAGCGGUGAAAUGCGUAGAUAUAGGAAGGAACACCAGUGGCGAAGGCGACCACCUGGGCUCAUACUGACACUGAGGUGCGAAAGCGUGGGGAGCAAACAGG
RNAcentral lists this ribosomal RNA (429 nucleotides) under Pseudomonadota bacterium. RNAcentral's name for it is "Proteobacteria bacterium partial 16S ribosomal RNA". It matches the Rfam family "Bacterial small subunit ribosomal RNA", at positions 355 to 776 of the family's 1533-position model. Lineage: Bacteria; Pseudomonadati; Pseudomonadota. The record is from RNAcentral.